RNAcentral lists this ribosomal RNA (229 nucleotides) under uncultured bacterium. RNAcentral's name for it is "partial 16S ribosomal RNA". It matches the Rfam family "Bacterial small subunit ribosomal RNA", at positions 104 to 334 of the family's 1533-position model. The record is from RNAcentral.
CGGGGUGAGUAAUGUCUGGGAAACUGCCUGAUGGAGGGGGGUGACUACUGGAAACGGUAGCUAAUACCGCAUAACGUCGCAAGACCAAAGAGGGGGACCUUCGGGCCUCUUGCCAUCGGAUGUGCCCAGAUGGGAUUAGCUAGUAGGUGGGGUAACGGCUCACCUAGGCGACGAUCCCUAGCUGGUCUGAGAGGAUGACCAGCCACACUGGAACUGAGACACGGUCCAG